CCUACGGGGGGCAGCAGUGAGGAAUAUUGGUCAAUGGCCGAGAGGCUGAACCAGCCAAGUCGCGUGAGGGAAGACGGCCCUACGGGUUGUAAACCUCUUUUGUCGGGGAGCAAAGCGAGUCACGUGUGACUCAUUGCGAGUACCCGAAGAAAAAGCAUCGGCUAACUCCGUGCCAGCAGCCGCGGUAAUACGGAGGAUGCGAGGGUUAUCCGGAUUUAUUGGGUUAAAGGGGUGCGCAGGCGGAGAGGCAAGUCAGCGGUAAAAUUGCGGGGCUCAACCCCGUACUGCCGUUGAAACUGCAUCCCUUGAGUGCGCGAGAAGUAUGCGGAAUGCGUGGUGUAGCGGUGAAAUGCAUAGAUAUCACGCAGAACUCCGAUUGCGAAGGCAGCAUACCGGCGCGCAACUGACGCUCAUGCACGAAAGCGUGGGUAUCGAACAGGAUUAGAUACCCGGGUAGUC
This 459-nucleotide ribosomal RNA is filed under the name uncultured bacterium. Its description in RNAcentral is "partial 16S ribosomal RNA". It matches the Rfam family "Bacterial small subunit ribosomal RNA", at positions 338 to 795 of the family's 1533-position model. The record is from RNAcentral.